UCCCUCUUAGGGUCAUACCUGAAGAGUUUCCAGUACUCUACCAGACUCAACUACGGGAGGGAAGAUCAAGCAGAGGCCUGUCCAUUCCAUUCCUAGCUUGGGUAGUGGCUAGCGAGUGGAAGGCAAUCUGCUACAAGU
Ornithorhynchus anatinus (platypus) is the source of this 138-nucleotide small nucleolar RNA. NCBI's taxonomy places the organism in Eukaryota, Metazoa, Chordata, Mammalia, Monotremata, Ornithorhynchidae. The record is from RefSeq and is a predicted model, not a curated record.